GUUUACUUUCACUUUCGAUUUACCACUUCCGGGUACAUCGGCAGACUUAUUUACCGUUGCGCAUAUAGGUAACCCGAAGAACUCGAGGGAUAUAGAAGUUAAAUUUGUUUCGGUCCUCUUCAGAUUUGAAGGAAUGGAUAGCACGGGUCAAAAAAUGCAGAUGUAUAGACAAGGAGGUAUAUGACAAGUAUAGAAUAUACAGUUGUUCAAUAUGGACCAUUAAUCAACUGUUUGCACUGCCUAUGAUCCUGAAAUAUCUAUACAUCAAAGAUAAAAAGGGAAAAGAUGAAGGAGGAUUUGUCCAUGAAGACCUUUAUUGCAACUACCAUCUUCCAGUUCCUUAAUUUGAGAAUGAUAUCAGAGAACACACAGUUACAGUGAAAUAUUAGUUUAAUAUAAGCCACUGAGAAUAGUCAAAUGUACCAUCCUGAAGAAGAUGAAUGACAUCCAGCACAAAAAUCUUAA
Molecule: long non-coding RNA, 465 nt
Organism: Ruditapes philippinarum (Manila clam)
Lineage: Eukaryota; Metazoa; Mollusca; Bivalvia; Venerida; Veneridae
Exons: 3
Source: RefSeq, a predicted model, not a curated record